UGCGCAGGCGGUUUUGUAAGACAGGUGUGAAAUCCCCGGGCUUAACCUGGGAACUGCAUUUGUGACUGCAAGGCUAGAGUACGGCAGAGGGGGGUAGAAUUCCACGUGUAGCAGUGAAAUGCGUAGAUAUGUGGAGGAAUACCGAUGGCGAAGGCAGCCCCCUGGGUCGAUACUGACGCUCAUGCACGAAAGCGUGGGGAGCAAACAGGAUUAGAUACCCUGGUAGUCCACGCCCUAAACGAUGUCAACUAGGUGUUGGGGGAGGAGACUUCCUUAGUACCGCAGCUAACGCGUGAAGUUGACCGCCUGGGGAGUACGGCCGCAAGGUUGAA
RNAcentral lists this ribosomal RNA (332 nucleotides) under uncultured Sideroxydans sp. RNAcentral's name for it is "bacterial SSU rRNA". It matches the Rfam family "Bacterial small subunit ribosomal RNA", at positions 568 to 898 of the family's 1533-position model. Lineage: Bacteria; Pseudomonadati; Pseudomonadota; Betaproteobacteria; Nitrosomonadales; Gallionellaceae. The record is from RNAcentral.